RNAcentral lists this non-coding RNA (85 nucleotides) under Desulfosporosinus acidiphilus. RNAcentral's name for it is "c-di-GMP-II sequence". It matches the Rfam family "Cyclic di-GMP-II riboswitch aptamer". Lineage: Bacteria; Bacillati; Bacillota; Clostridia; Eubacteriales; Desulfitobacteriaceae. The record is from RNAcentral.
UACAAAUUAGGAAGUUUAGAAACAUGUAUUAUAAUUUGGGCGCUUUAUACAUGUGGAACAAGUAGCGCAACCGGCCUGGUUUUAU